UGAAAAAGGCAGACCAACAAAAUAUAUUAGAUGCUUUCAACAAACGUGAGUCUGGGACUCCCAAAUCACCAGUUGGCAGCCAAGCGGUCCAGCUGCCCGAGAUAGCAGUGGCUCCUGUGCCUCCUCCUAUGGCCAAUACACCUUCAACUGGAGUUAUAGCAUCAAGAGAGGAUGUGCUUACCAGAGCAGCAGCGCUUGGUAGAGGUGCCGCCACUACAGGAUUCAAGCAUUUUCUUGCUUUGACAGAAGCAGCUAAAGACCGAAAGGAUGGCCCUUUCCGGAAACUUUUCAAUGUCAAAUGAUAACUGUGACUCUACAAAUUAUUCAAUCUAACAGCCUGCAGUUUAAGUGGUGUGGGGAAAAUUCCCGUAUGGGUAAUAAACAGAGAGUUCGAUCCAUAGGGGGUGUUGGGGUUAUCUUGUUCGCACAAUGCUAAGCUACUGUUGGAGUUAUAAACUUAGCUAGGGUAGUCGAAUAAAUACAACAGUAUGUCAACUAGGUUCCAAGGUUCAAACAAAGGAGGAUUUUGUACAAGAACAUGCAGCCCCAAGGAGUGUCUCGAUCAGCUCAGGCGGUGUUUAGUGUUUAGGUUUCUUAUUAAAUUCGAUGCAAUCAGCAUGGACAUAUUACAUCUAGCUUGAAUUCAAUAAGGUUGUAGGGGUUUUUGUUAUUCAAUAUCCUAGCUACAAUUUUGAAAUCUCAA
Molecule: long non-coding RNA, 703 nt
Organism: Erigeron canadensis
Lineage: Eukaryota; Viridiplantae; Streptophyta; Magnoliopsida; Asterales; Asteraceae
Exons: 3
Source: RefSeq, a predicted model, not a curated record